UACUCAUCAAAUUUUACUUUUCAAAAUUGGUAAAGAGAGAGAUACAUGGUAAUGGGUGUGAAUAUAGCUGGCGAUGCUAAUUAAGAAAUGUUGGAAUGGUUCGGAAAGCAUUUCAAAUUUUACUUGAAUCAGUCUUCUCAUAAGAAUGAGUUGGAUUGUGCUCAUGACAUAUAAUCAUAUGAAGAGCUAGGGUGACUUAUGGAUGGUAUAAAUAUUGCAAACUUGAACUUUCCGAACUAUGGAUAAGAUAUGC
Molecule: long non-coding RNA, 253 nt
Organism: Solanum verrucosum
Lineage: Eukaryota; Viridiplantae; Streptophyta; Magnoliopsida; Solanales; Solanaceae
Exons: 2
Source: RefSeq, a predicted model, not a curated record